Ramazzottius varieornatus is the source of this 751-nucleotide non-coding RNA. The record is from the annotation of a GenBank genome assembly. Lineage: Eukaryota; Metazoa; Tardigrada; Eutardigrada; Parachela; Ramazzottiidae.
UUAAUAUUACUUAAUUUUUUAUUUGUUUUAUAAUAUUUUAACAUGUAAAAAAUUUGAUAUUGGUUUUGAAAAAUAAAGUGAAAAUUUAGGAACAUAAUUUUUUUGAGAGCUUGUGUUGUACUAAAAAAUUUUAUAUAAAUUUUGACAAAAGAUUUUAAUUAUUUUUAUCAAGCUUAUAGUAUGCCAGCAGCUGCGGUUAUAUACUUUGAUGUUUUUAUGUGAGAUAAAUUAAUUAAUAUAAUUUACGGCAGGACAGGUUUGUAAGUAAAAUUAUUCUUCUUAUAGGAGAUUUUUAAAUAGUUUUUUUUAUAAAAAUCAUAAAAACCAAGAUUAGAUACCUUGUUAUUUUUUUGUAAUAGCCAAAGGAGUGAGGUUUAAAUAUUUAAAAUUUAAAAAAUUUGGCGGCAUUUGGUUUAUCAGAGGGAGCUGUCUGCUAAAAGAAAGUACGCGCAAGAAUUUACUUUGCUUAUUUGAAUUUAUAUAUCGUCGUCGAUAUAUUGCUUUUGGCUUCACUAAAUAAAGAAUUAACUUUAAUUUUCAGAUCUACAUAUAGUUUAUAGCAAAGGUCAGAUUGGUUACAAUUUCUUUUUUGUUAAUUUAAGUAGGAUAUUUAAAAAUAAUUGGAUUUGAAAGUAAAAAUACAUAUAUUUUUAUUUUGAAUAUUUUUUCCGGGUGUGCACAUAUCGCCCGUCACUUUUUCCCUUAGGAAAAAAAAGUCGUAACAAAGUGGGCUAAUCGGAAGAUUAGCCUU